RNAcentral lists this ribosomal RNA (686 nucleotides) under uncultured bacterium. Its description in RNAcentral is "bacterial SSU rRNA". It matches the Rfam family "Bacterial small subunit ribosomal RNA", at positions 78 to 760 of the family's 1533-position model. The record is from RNAcentral.
UGCUGCUUCGCUGACGAGUGGCGGACGGGUGAGUAAUGUCUGGGAAACUGCCUGAUGGAGGGGGAUAACUACUGGAAACGGUAGCUAAUACCGCAUAACGUCGCAAGACCAAAGAGGGGGACCUUCGGGCCUCUUGCCAUCAGAUGUGCCCAGAUGGGAUUAGCUUGUUGGUGGGGUAACGGCUCACCAAGGCGGCGAUCCCUAGCUGGUCUGAGAGGAUGACCAGCCACACUGGAACUGAGACACGGUCCAGACUCCUACGGGAGGCAGCAGUGGGGAAUAUUGCACAAUGGGCGCAAGCCUGAUGCAGCCAUGCCGCGUGUAUGAAGAAGGCCUUCGGGUUGUAAAGUACUUUCAGCGGGGAGGAAGGUGCUGUGGUUAAUAACCGCAGCAAUUGACGUUACCCGCAGAAGAAGCACCGGCUAACUCCGUGCCAGCAGCCGCGGUAAUACGGAGGGUGCAAGCGUUAAUCGGAAUUACUGGGCGUAAAGCGCACGCAGGCGGUCUGUUAAGUCAGAUGUGAAAUCCCCGGGCUCAACCUGGGAACUGCAUCUGAUACUGGCAGGCUUGAGUCUCGUAGAGGGGGGUAGAAUUCCAGGUGUAGCGGUGAAAUGCGUAGAGAUCUGGAGGAAUACCGGUGGCGAAGGCGGCCUCCUGGACGAAGACUGACGCUCAGGUGCGAAAGC